Long non-coding RNA from Salvelinus sp. IW2-2015, 1357 nucleotides. RefSeq lists it as uncharacterized. Lineage: Eukaryota; Metazoa; Chordata; Actinopteri; Salmoniformes; Salmonidae. The record is from RefSeq and is a predicted model, not a curated record.
CAAACAUUUUAGCUUCAUUACAGGGCUCCCGAGUGGCGCCUCGGUGCAAGAGGCGUCCCUGGUUCGAAUACAGGCUGUAUCACAUCCGGCCGUGAAUGGGAGUCCCAUAGGGCGGCGCACAAUUGGCCCAGCAUCGUCCGGGUUUGGCGGUCAUUGUAAAUAAGAAUUUGGUUAAAUACAAUUACUCAAAAUGACGGCGCCGAAGCGGACACGACUUUUCACAGUGAAAGAGGUUAAUGUUGGUUGAUGAUUCGGACACGCACAUUGAAAAGCGAUGAUGUCGAGAUUGUUCAGGACUUCUCUAUUUGAAACCCGGACUUCUCGGUGAAGCUCACUGAACUGGAUCGGGGUCUUCAAGGACCAAAAAUGUUGCUUCGCCAGCUGAGAAAAGCAGGCCCAAGAUCUUCUCUUCAAAGUGCAGAUGCACAAGGUGACAUCCCUUUGACACUUCUGCCAGUGGUCCUCCCACACCAGUCUACAAGAUUGUCAGGAAGACAUUCCGACCCAGCUUCUAAGAGACCAGAAAGUCCUUCAUUGACUUGCGUAAUUUGUAUGGAUACAGCGCACUAGUAAGGACUAGUGCGCUGUAUCCAUACAAAUAACUAUAAUAUUCUUCUGCAUUUGGAUAUUUAUGCAAACAUGUAGAUUCCACCAAGUAGGCGUAGAUAAUGCCAUAAGCCAAUUUGGUAGGGUUGUCUCCCCAGCUGGUCUCCGGGAAGUUGAAAGGACAUUAAAACACCAUUUAAAAUGUUGCUACAUAAGAAUUAAGCCGGUCGAUCACAUAUAGGCCAAAAAAAAUCAACUUUUCUAAUUACCUAGACCGUUCAAAGGCAUGCAAAGACUGGAAGUAGUUACGCGACGUAUCUAAAACUAGCGAAUUAGAUUGAGAUUAACUUCUCUCACUAGCCAGCCAGAUAACAUAAGCUAACCGUCAAAAAAGCUAGGGGUAAACAAACAGUGACUUAAGUAUAAUGUGACAGCUUACUGUCAGUGUUGGCAGGUCAGGUAACACAUUAGCGUGGCAGAAUAAGUAUCAUGCAAAUCAUUUGUUGUUGUGACAGCCAAGUAUGUUAAUAAGGACACAUGAGGCUGCUGAAAACAUUUAUUGAAAUUACAAAAAGUUGUCAGUAGUUUGCUGAAGAUGCCACCAUAGUUUGGCUAAUUACAUGGGAGUAAUGAGUACCCUACUGCUGUACCCUAAUCGGGGUYUGGUCACGUUAAGUCACACCUCCGUGUGUAUCUAUGAGCCUCCGCCCCAAAUUUAAUGGAAGAUGUAGGUAUCAAACAGGGAUUGUGUGUUUUAUAUUUUCUUAAAUGGCUAUAUAGUAUACAAAAUAAAUUGUGAGUGGCAUUGUCA